AAUUAUAUUAAUACAAGAUAUAAAGUCAAAGUAGGAAAUUUUAUCUAGUGCAGACUAUUUCAAGAUUUCAUAGAGCUACCACACUAGAGCAUAAUAAUAUGCACUACUUCAUGUUCAAGAAUGGAAUUAG
Molecule: long non-coding RNA, 130 nt
Organism: Ipomoea nil (Japanese morning glory)
Lineage: Eukaryota; Viridiplantae; Streptophyta; Magnoliopsida; Solanales; Convolvulaceae
Exons: 4
Source: RefSeq, a predicted model, not a curated record